Heterocephalus glaber (naked mole-rat) is the source of this 2771-nucleotide non-coding RNA. Lineage: Eukaryota; Metazoa; Chordata; Mammalia; Rodentia; Bathyergidae. The record is from RefSeq and is a predicted model, not a curated record.
GACUAUGGUCAUGGGUCACCUUCCCUAAAAGACAGAGGCUGCUCGUCACGUUUAAUGGCAGGAGGCAGAGAAAGGGCAGUGACCCAAGCUCCUGCCAGUCCUGCAUUCAUUUUACACACAUACUAUGAGGAUCAGCUAUGAGUCACCAAGCCUGGUCCUGGAGAUCCAGAGGCCAACAAUGACAGACAAACUGGCUCUCUCUCUUCUUCUCUCUGCUGAUACUGGGGCAGAAAUGACAGGUCCACAUACCCUCUACAGGAGCAUCAGGGUCUCCUCCGUUAUUUCUUGCACUUUGGGCCAAAGACAGAAGAUGGACAAGACCAGUCCCCCAGGACCUGAGUGUGAUGGAUCUUCUGCCAUUUAAGCUGAGUCCAGAAACCCAAAGCUGCCUCUCAGUCACCUGGCUCUCUUGGGUUAUUCCUGAUCGUCCCUCUUUUAGGACCAUCUCUGCCACAUACCCCAAGAACUUGACUCUGGACUGCUCCUCGCAGAUUUGCCUCUGUUCUCUGGUUUCCCCGGCAGCUGAGGUUCUGACCCAUACUAAUUUCUGAUGGCACUGAAGGUGCAAGAGAAGAAAUAGAGGACUGGACAAUAGAGACCCUGAAACCAGCACUGUGGCGAAGAUGAAGAAAAGAAUGAGAACGUUCAGUGACCUCCAGGCCUAGAGGCUAGGGGCUGGGUUGGAAAAUUGGCCCCUCGGACAAUUCCUCCUACCUAUUCCACCGGAGAAUUUUAAAGAUUCAUGUAAAUAGAAAGGUACCGAUGUCAGAGGAACUUGUUUUCAAAGUGAUUCAUCAUUUCUCAGUCAGACUUGGCUGUUUCAGUGUUACAGGGCACUGUGGAUGUGUGUAUGUACAUGUGGACUAAUUGUCUAUAAACAGAAACAGCCUUCGGGGAAAUUUCUUUUUAUUUUAAGCAGAAAGAGACAUCUAGAUUCCUAUGGGUAAUCAUAACUGCCUGAAACAGAAUCUUUCCACAUAUUUCCAGAAACUAUACAGAUUAACAAGAGCAAAUUAAACCACAUAACCCAGUCUGAAUGGAGAUAAAGAUACAAUUCUAGAGAACUUAAAAGGUGCUCAAUGUUUAAUGAAUGAAUGAAUGAAUAUAUGAAUGAAUGGCACGGCCACACAGGAGAUGAAGCUACUAAGGAUAAUUUACUUGAUAGAUGACAGACCUACAUGCCAAACAAUUCUGACUUGCUGGCCUUAUGGCCAAAAUCAAUAGGAAAAAAUAUAAUUAGUAUCCAAAUUAAGGCCCUAAAUUUAGGGUCAGGUAAUUUAACAUGGCAACAGAAGGGGGGGAAACAAGACUAAACCAUAUCGAAAGACAACAGUUUUCAAAGAUUUUAGUCUUAAAUUCUUUUACUUCCUCUUUUUUUUGUUUUUGUUUUGUUGUUGUUUUGUAGCCCAGGCUGGCCUUGAAUUUAUAAUCUUCCUGCCUCAGCCUCCCUAGUCACUGGGGGAAAAGCUCAAUUUUCGUCAUUGCUAACAGGUUUUGGCAGUUGUUUUACUUAAAAUGACGGGCUCAUCUCAUUUUUGAGCAUAUGUCUGCCACAUAACUAGGUCUGAAUAACCAGGCUGUCAAUUACUGUCUCAACAAAAACAGUGCUCUGUGAGCAAAGAGCUAAUUUAGCUAAGGGCUCAACUAGUCAUGUGUGCCAGCCAGUGAUUUUCCUCUAGAUGACUCUCACGUUUAUGCAGCAGCAGUGCUUUCUGCUAACAAGGCUCCAACCUUGUAUUGAGCCAAAAUUUCUCUUUCGGUUGUAAAAGGUGUUUGUUUUGUUUGCUCUGGGUGUUCAUGCCAAUCCUCAACUCCUAGGGAAACCAAAUGGACAGGGAGAUGGGUUUGUUUCAGGAGACUGGGAGGAAGUCUUGAGUUUCAGCUCCUUGUAACCUUUGCUUUGGGACAAAUCCUCUCUGUGUCAAGAGGAGCUUCCUUGGGAAGGUCUGUGAGUGAAAGCAGGGCCAGCGCAUUGAGCAGGGAGGGUGGGUGCUCCCUUCGCUAAAGUGAUAAGAAGACACAACCGAGAAGACAUUCCUACCUCCCAGCCUCCCUUAUCACUAGAAAGCAGUAAAAAAAAAAACAUAAGACAACAGAAGAGAGACAUCACUUCAUCUGCUAUUAGUCCUCUUCAGCAAAUGCUCGAGCUCACCCCUCAGGCAGCAGGCCCACAGCAGGCCCAAAGGACUCUGCAGCGACCAGUGCAGGGCUCCUGACCUCCAGGGGCUCACUGUCUGCUCGGGGAGACGAUUAUCUAAAGACACCGUUGCUGGGGAAGAUCCAGAUUCCUCAGCAAGUCCUGCAAGGAUCUGCAGGAUCUGAUCCUCAUGGCCUGCUCCAGCCUCCGUCCCUAUUUCUCCUCCCAAUGUGGUGACUCGGUCACACAGAGCAGCAAACACCAUGCAGGUCCCUCAACAAGUGUUCCUCCGCCCGGAGCCCCACCCAUGACCACCUGUAGCCACUUCUCUGGCAGUGGUUCACAUCCGUGGCAGAUCCCAGCUGGAAGAAGGGGAAGGCUGCAGCUUCAUUCGGUUCAGAAAUGUAAUUUUCAGCUGGGAUUGGACAUUUCACUUCAUGAAUUGAGAAUGUUUUAUGACGUAAAAGUAACCAUGGCUUUGAGUUUGACCUCAGAUUGGCCAGAAAGUGUUGAGCUUUGUCUCAGUUUACAUCCAGGGACAGGGAGAACUAAAACCACCUGAAAUAUAUAUAAAGAAUGGGAGAAAAACUAUUCGGUAUUUACACAUGUGUGUCCUAUUUAUUUCACUUAAGAG